This 365-nucleotide unclassified non-coding RNA is filed under the name soil metagenome. RNAcentral describes it as "partial contains 5.8S ribosomal RNA, internal transcribed spacer 2, and large subunit ribosomal RNA". The stretch from base 1 to 120 matches the Rfam family "5.8S ribosomal RNA", at positions 35 to 154 of the family's 154-position model. The record is from RNAcentral.
GAUGAAGAACGCAGCGAAAUGCGAUAAUUAAUGUGAAUUGCAGAAUUCCGUGAAUCAUCGAGUCUUUGAACGCACAUUGCGCCCGCCAGUAUUCUGGCGGGCAUGCCUGUCCGAGCGUCAUCUCAACCCUCGAGCCCCCCCGGGGGCUCGGCGUUGGGGACCGGCCCCGCCCCAGGGCGCGCCGCCCCCCAAAUCCAGUGGCGGUCCCGCCGCAGCCUCCCCUGCGCAGUAGCUUGCACACUCGCACCGGAGAGCGGCGCGGCCACGCCGUAAAACCCCCCGACCACGGAGCCCCGGCUCCUGAACGUUGACCUCGGAUCAGGUAGGAAUACCCGCUGAACUUAAGCAUAUCAAUAAGCGGAGGA